Molecule: ribosomal RNA, 462 nt
Filed under: uncultured bacterium
Lineage: Bacteria
Description: partial 16S ribosomal RNA
Rfam family: Bacterial small subunit ribosomal RNA
Source: RNAcentral
GACGAACGCUGGCGGCGUGCUUAACACAUGCAAGUCGAACGGAAAGGCCUUUUCGGCGGUACUCGAGUGGCGAACGGGUGAGUAACACGUGGGUGAUCUGCCCUGCACUCUGGGAUAAGCCUGGGAAACUGGGUCUAAUACCGGAUAGGACCGCACUUUAGUGUGUGUGGUGGAAAGUUUUUUCGGUGUAGGAUGAGCCCGCGGCCUAUCAGCUUGUGGUGGGGUAAUGGCCUACCAAGGCGGCGACGGGUAGCCGGACUGAGAGGUUGGUCGGCCACAUUGGGACUGAGAUACGGCCCAGACUCCUACGGGAGGCAGCAGUGGGGAAUAUUGCACAAUGGGCGCAAGCCUGAUGCAGCGACGCCGCGUGGGGGAUGACGGCCUUCGGGUUGUAAACUCCUUUCGCCAGGGACGAAGCGUUUUGUGACGGUACCUGGAGAAGAAGCACCGGCUAACUACGUG